This 74-nucleotide transfer RNA is filed under the name Deferribacter autotrophicus. Its description in RNAcentral is "tRNA-Ile". It matches the Rfam family "tRNA". From Rfam's summary of the family: Transfer RNA (tRNA) molecules are approximately 80 nucleotides in length. Their secondary structure includes four short double-helical elements and three loops (D, anti-codon, and T loops). Further hydrogen bonds mediate the characteristic L-shaped molecular structure. tRNAs have two regions of fundamental functional importance: the anti-codon, which is responsible for specific mRNA codon recognition, and the 3' end, to which the tRNAs corresponding amino acid is attached (by aminoacyl-tRNA synthetases). tRNAs cope with the degeneracy of the genetic code in two manners: having more than one tRNA (with a specific anti-codon) for a particular amino acid; and 'wobble' base-pairing, i.e. permitting non-standard base-pairing at the 3rd anti-codon position. The record is from RNAcentral. Lineage: Bacteria; Pseudomonadati; Deferribacterota; Deferribacteres; Deferribacterales; Deferribacteraceae.
GGGCCUAUAGCUCAGUCGGUUAGAGCGCACGCCUGAUAAGCGUGAGGUCGGUGGUUCAAGUCCACCUAGGCCCA